GAUGAACGCUAGCGGCAGGCCUAACACAUGCAAGUCGAGGGGUAGCAGGAUUAAGCUUGCUUAAUUGCUGACGACCGGCGCACGGGUACGUAACGCGUAUGCAACCUACCUUAUACUGGGGUAUAGCCCGGAGAAAUUCGGAUUAAUCCCCCAUAGUACUAAUGAAUCGCAUGGUUUAUUAGUUAAAGCAUUGCGGUAUAAGAUGGGCAUGCGUCCUAUUAGCUAGAUGGUGAGGUAACGGCUCACCAUGGCUACGAUAGGUAGGGGGCCUGGGAGGGGGGUCCCCCACACUGGUACUGAGACACGGACCAGACUCCUACGGGAGGCAGCAGUGAGGAAUAUUGGUCAAUGGGCGCAAGCCUGAACCAGCCAUGCCGCGUGCAGGAAGAAUGCCCUAUGGGUUGUAAACUGCUUUUAUUUGGGAAUAAACCUCUUUACGUGUAGAGAGCUGAAGGUACCAAAUGAAUAAGCACCGGCUAACUCCGUGCCAGCCGCCGCCGUAA
RNAcentral lists this ribosomal RNA (503 nucleotides) under uncultured bacterium. RNAcentral's name for it is "partial 16S ribosomal RNA". It matches the Rfam family "Bacterial small subunit ribosomal RNA", at positions 28 to 523 of the family's 1533-position model. The record is from RNAcentral.